RNAcentral lists this ribosomal RNA (450 nucleotides) under uncultured bacterium. RNAcentral's name for it is "bacterial SSU rRNA". It matches the Rfam family "Bacterial small subunit ribosomal RNA", at positions 354 to 796 of the family's 1533-position model. The record is from RNAcentral.
GUGGGGAAUAUUGGACAAUGGGCGAAAGCCUGAUCCAGCCAUGCCGCGUGUGUGAAGAAGGUCUUCGGAUUGUAAAGCACUUUAAGUUGGGAGGAAGGGCAGUAAGUUAAUACCUUGCUGUUUUGACGUUACCGACAGAAUAAGCACCGGCUAACUUCGUGCCAGCAGCCGCGGUAAUACGAAGGGUGCAAGCGUUAAUCGGAAUUACUGGGCGUAAAGCGCGCGUAGGUGGUUCAGCAAGUUGAAGGUGAAAUCCCCGGGCUCAACCUGGGAACUGCCUCCAAAGCUGCAUGACUAGAGUACGGUAGAGGGUAGUGGAAUUUCCUGUGUAGCGGUGAAAUGCGUAGAUAUAGGAAGGAACACCAGUGGCGAAGGCGACUACCUGGACUGAUACUGACACUGAGGUGCGAAAGCGUGGGGAGCAAACAGGAUUAGAAACCCGAGUAGUCC